Molecule: RNA transcript, 1686 nt
Organism: Triticum urartu
Lineage: Eukaryota; Viridiplantae; Streptophyta; Magnoliopsida; Poales; Poaceae
Source: RefSeq, a predicted model, not a curated record
GAGAAAAAAGAGAGAAAGAGAUUGGCCAGCGAAGAGAGAAAGGGAUUGCCCCCCAGUCAAGAUCCCCCGAUUCCUCUCCCUCUCCCUUGUUGCCGCCGCCGCCACCGGUGACCUCCCCUCAGCCACGCCCUCCCCAACGGCGACCUCCCCUCCCCCUCGCACCAGAUCGAGCAGCAGGUCGGGCAGGGCAGAGUGGAGCGGGGAUGGGAGGAGAUGGCGGCAACGUCGUCCUCCUCGCCCAUCGGCGGGCGACACCUGUCAGAGUAGACCUAGGUCGCCGUUGUGGCUGCUGUCUCAGGCGAGAAGAGGAGUGGUCAUAUUAGGACGCGAGGAGGGGGAGCAGCCAACCAUGCUCAAGGCCGUCCGCGGUGGCCGCAAAUCGAGGCGGCGACUACAAUUCGAAGCUGCAGAAGACGGAGGCGAAGAUGUCGAGCAUGUGGCCCUGCGCACAAGAGAAUACACUUACUGCCAGAAAAGUUGUGCUCUGAAGGGGUGCGAGGACUGCUAGGGAUGUACAGGGUAUGACACAUUGACAGGGUGCUUCCAAUUGAAUUCACGGAUAAAUAAAACCUAUAUGGCGGAUCGGACAUUCUGUUUCCACUUCUCUACAUCAUGCUGCCCACCGGGCAUGGAUAUUCACCUCCACCAAUUUGAUUGAUCCUAUGUGCUACUGCAGUUUAUCAACUAAGUUUAUACACUGUCCCUUAAGGCCUAAGCCCAAACCGCAUGUUAAUUCCCAACUCUGGUUUGCUUCACAACUUCAUCUCAUCCGAUGUUAUAUUACUGGUCUACUGCAAUUCUUUUCUGAUACUCUUGUAGGCAUUGUUGAGGAAAUCGUUAACUGGUAACUGCUCAGUUGGCUGGCAAGUAGGGAAUUAAUAGGCUAAUCGGCAAGUUAAUCGGCCAUUUAAUCAAUUAAUCGGACGAUUUAUCAGUUUAUCGGCUACUCGGUGACCCUACGAGCAGGGAUUAAUCGGCAAGUUAACUGGUUAAUCGGAUGAAUUCUUGAACAGGGCUUGUAGGUCAUACUUGGACUAAUUGAUUUGUUUUACUGACUAAACUCACUUAUUCCUUCCACUUUCAAGGCUUGGACAAACCACUUAGUUCAUCUAGCAAUUGAUGUUAGAUCAUACUGGAUGGAAUAUACACACAUUCAUAGAAUUUUAAGUUGUUAAAGCUCCUUUGGAAUUUUCAGGUACCAGCGGCGGCGGCUACAAUGGCCACGACGAACGGCCGCAGAACAAUGGCUACAAUAUCAUCUCGGCAUUCACAAAGGCUGCCUUGGGUUGGUGGGCAUGGACAUGAGCAACCAUUGCAGCAUGUGCGGCUGUCCUGAUGAUGAUAAUAGUAUUCUGAUUCUGAGCAACAUCCAAGUGAUGCUUACAUGGAAGAGUAUGUUUGGAUAGAUGGAGAGAGGGAUUGCAGCACCCGAGCUCCACUGCUCCCUAUAUUUAAACAUUUUGAAAUUUGUGUUUUUGAAGUUUCAAACAAAUGUGAAUUUUUUCCUGGGAAUACAUAUACACACUUUGAAUACAUGUGGCAAGUUUCGGUAGAAACCUCUCGUUUUGUUUUGGGUUAUAGGAAAAAACAAAAUUCUGACAGUAUAUAGCAGAAAAUGGAUGUUAUUUAUGUCAGAAAUUUCCUUUUGUAUUUCUCAAAAUACAAAGUGUUUCUUUUUCAGCUUUU